CGUCUUCUCCAACUCAAUUACCACAAACUUUUUUUUGUUUCUUCUAUCAUCUUCUCAGAUUCUAUUGAACAAAAGAACAAUCCAUGUUCUCUUGGAUCUUUGAUUUUUAAAGUAAAAAUCAUCAUUUUUGAGAUCUGGGAGUAGAUAAAGAUUCUAUUUUUUCUCCCUUUAAAUUAAUUCCACUAAAGAUGCUAAAAGCAGUAGUCGUCUUUCACGGGCACACAAAAUUAAACCAAACAAACAAACAAUCCGAGAGAGAGAGGUUUGCGAAUCUGGGUUUUCAAUUCAGGUGUUAAUACAAGAUUUUGAUCAAUUCCCAUCUCAAAGGAAGACGAGAUUCGAUCCGAUCGAUCAGAUUUGUAGAAGAAGAAAUGGCGAAUCUGUAUGUGAAAGUUGUUCCACCACCGGAUAUGAACAGGAAUACGGAAUGGUUCAUGUAUCCAUGAUUUUGGACAACUUACAUGCUCAGUCUCUUCUUCGCUUGGCUCGUUGUUCUCUCUAUGUCGAGUUUUUCCCCUGGAAUGGCUUGGACUGUUGUUAAUCUCGCUCACUUCGUUGUGGGCAUAUGGAGGAGACAUUAAGGUUUAUUUCAGGAAUGGAGAAGAUUAGACUCAAAGACACCCAAGAAGGAGUUGUGUUUGGUAAUUUAGACUCUGUUUUCUCGAAGAUGCUGCACCAAAUGGGACUUGUUUUUCCUUGUUCCACUGCGGUUUUCAUCAAUUCUUUUGAAGAACUGGAUCCUACCAUUUUGUUUUUCUUUUGUUCUAAGAUUACAAGCCUUUUCUAGUUCUGAUUUCAUUCAUUGUGAUUGGAAGAUUUUAAGGUUUGUUGAUAUACUCUUAUACUGUCUUUGGGUAUACUUUGGUAUAUGUUUUGUGUGCCUUAUGAAAAA
Arabidopsis lyrata subsp. lyrata is the source of this 892-nucleotide long non-coding RNA. RefSeq lists it as uncharacterized. Lineage: Eukaryota; Viridiplantae; Streptophyta; Magnoliopsida; Brassicales; Brassicaceae. The transcript is spliced from 2 exons. The record is from RefSeq and is a predicted model, not a curated record.